RNAcentral lists this long non-coding RNA (7310 nucleotides) under Zea mays. RNAcentral describes it as "long non-coding RNA (ZMAY_LNC003715)". Lineage: Eukaryota; Viridiplantae; Streptophyta; Magnoliopsida; Poales; Poaceae. The record is from RNAcentral.
CAAACAGGACAUUUGCUGAGUACGUUGAUGUGUACUCACCCUUGCUUUCACAAAACACCAGGUUGCCUUUGGUGCAAUCUAUGCUCAGGUAAAGAAGAAGGCGUCGAGGCGAAUCUCCAGGAGUUCCAGGACUUCGACGAGUUCGAGGAUUAGGCUAGCGACCUCCCCCAGUCAGCUGCCUGUGGUGGGCUUAUUUACGUUGGCUACGUUUCUGUUCUGUGUACUUUGAUUAUAUUAUGUAAAUGACUCUAGUCUUUCAUAUUAUUACUUAUCUUUAUUGUUAUUCGAAGCAUUGUGCUAUGAUGAGUCAUUUAUGUAAUCGCCGUGUAUUUGAAUUUCUGAUCCUGGCACGUACAUGGUUCACAUUCGGUUUACCUUCCAAAACCGGGUGUGACAUAAGUGGUAUCAAAGCCGUGCUGACUGUAGGACCGCUGACCUAGAGUAGCAUUGGCCGUUUUAAGGACUUAUUGACUAUUACUUCACAUCCUCCUUGAUGCUGCUUCAAAAUAUUAGUCACCUCGACUAAUUCUAUGUUAUUCUCCUAUAUAUCACCUUGCCAAAAGUAUUUUAUUCUAGUAUGGUCUAUACUUUUCUCAAUGUAUUAGAUCUGAUCUCACCCUUGUGCUUGCGACAUCUUUGUAGAUGCCCCCUGACCAUAGCCUUUUGUCUUUUGGGAUUAUUUCCUCUUCCAUCAUUAAAUUGCUACCAUUCGACCAUAUCUAUUCUCUUGGUAUUGACAUGCUUGUAUCCCUGGAAUCUUCAAUACCCUUUCCCUUGAUUCAAAUAUUGAUCUCUAAAUCUCUGCUGCCUAUUUAAACAUUUCAGUUUAUAUGUCCUUGACCUUCCUGCCUUCGGAGAUCCUUUCCUAUUCUGUUGUUAAUAACUAACUUUCGGCAAUUUCUAUUCUCUUGGUUUUGCUAUGCUCGUAUCCUUGGAACCUUGCAUACUCUUAUCUUUAUAUAUAUGUGUACCUUUAUAUCCCAAUGUCUAUUUAGAGCAUUUCAGCUUACAUGCCCUUGACCACCCUUGUUUCUUAAUGAUCCAUUAGCGGUCAUUUUACUUUGCACAUCCUUGGUAAUCUCAUUGUUUCGUUGUAACUUCCCUCAGUAAUGAAUUUUUUACUUUAACUCUUCUGUUGGAACCACACCUAUCUUAUCCUUGAUUGGUUUCCCCACUUCGCUAGUUUGCGAGUCUUGCCUUAACUCUGUCCAUGGAUUAUGCUUUUCAUCAUUAUCACCUUUGCCCUUAUCACCUCUAUAUCUUACUUUGAUGUUUAUCUUAUUUCGGCCCUUUAAAAUCUCCUCUUUUCCAUCUUCAUCCGAGAGUUGUAUGUUUUACCUAUUUUUCUCUUGGACGUAUCAUCUUCUUUGUCACUUGCGAGUUUUUAAUUCCAUCCUUUGCCUACUUUUGUUUGUUAUUACCUUUACCCUUCUCAUCACUCUAUCCUACCUUGUGAUUACAUUAUGUCUGUUAUCUAAAAUCUUCAGUCUCCUAUCUCAAUUUGAGAGUGGUGUUUUACUUACCUCACCCUUGGCUAUAUCCUCUUCUUUACCGCGUGUAAGCUUCGACGUAACUUCAUUCUUUGUUGUACUCAUACCACUAGCUCUCCAAUGCCUUCAUCUUUUCUCUCAUACUCUUGUCUGUUGUCGCCUUUGACCCUUGCGAUAUUGAGGCCUUCUACCUAAGUGUUUACUUUGAAUUUAUCCUUUAAAAGUCUCCCCUUUCUUUCAACCUAGUUUGAGAGUUGCGAGUUACCCAUCUCUCCCUUGAUUUCUUUUCACUUCUUGUCGCCAUACAAGUUUUGUGUUAAUUCCAUCCCAUGCUGUGUUUUUAUUUGCUAUCACCCUCACCUUGUCAUCCAUCGAUCUUGCCUUGAUACUCAUCUUUAUUCCUACUCUUUAAAAAUCCCCUCUCUUCCACCUCAAUUUGAGAGUGGCAAUUUACCUAUCUGGCCCUUGGACGUACCCUCUCCUUUUCCAUUUGCAGGUCCGAUCUUAACUCCAUCCUUUAUGGUACUUAUAUCCUUGGUUCUUAUGCCCAUUUACCUCCUCUCCUACAGCCUUGUUUGUUAUCACCUUUAAACCCUCGUGAUAUAUAUGUCCUUGCCUUCCUGUUUACCUUGAACCUACCAUUUGAAGACUCCUCUUUUCCCUCCCUGUUUGGGGAUAAAGCCUCAUCUAUUUCAUCACUGACUGCUCCCUCUUCUUUGACCCCUUGCAAGUUUUGUCUAAAAUACAUCCUUUGUUGUGUGUUUGUCCGUUAUCACCUUAACCCUUGUCGUCCCUCGAUCUUUACUUUGAUGCUUAUCCUGUACCUGCAUUUUAAAGUCGCCUCCCCCAUUUCAUUUCAAGAGUGUUGUCUUACGCCUCCCUGCUCUUGUUUGUUCCCUUUUCCUCGGUCAUGCUGCAAGCCUUGCCUUAACUCGAUCUUUUGGUGUGCUUUCACCUGUUACCUUCUCUACCUUUGUAGUCACUGGAUCUUUCCAUGAUGCUCAUCUUAUGCCUACCUUUUGAAUUAUCAUCUUUCCCAUCUCGAUUUGAGAAUGGUGUUUACCUAUCCUGCCCUUGGUUGCAUUUUCUCCCUUGUAGAUUACAAUACUUGCUUUAACUCCAUCCCUUAUUUUGCUCGUGCCCCUAUCCCAUACAUCUUGUUCUUCUCCUCGUCCUUCGACAACCUUAGAGAGUAGUUAUUCCCUUUUCAAAGACCACCAUCUAGUUAACAUUAACGUGUAGCAAUGAGAUGUUUGUUGUUGUAUGCUUGUGUUGUUUGUCUUUGUGUUAUGACUGAUUUGCUUCUUUGUAAUGAGUGUUGGUGUGUUGUGGUCCCUGGGUCCGCAAUGGCAUCCGUUUACUAACUGGGUGCUCUCCCUUCUCUCUCUUUAAGCCAUCUAUGCUUACCUUUUCUAUCUAUACUCUUCCCUUUUGCACCUGUCCGGUUGGCAUCCUGCAACCUCUCUUAAUCAGUCAGGAUCAGAGUUGACAAUAUCUUCACCAAGUGCAUAUCAACGCUUCUGUUAAGGGGGUUAGCCGCUAACCCCAAUGAAGACAAUACGAUCAACAUCAACCAACAAGAUCAGAGUGGCGCAACGAAAGCGUGUGUAGGUCCUAACCCACAGGUCCAAGCGAUUCUCAAGAAUUGUAUCAAUUGGUCUUGAGCGUUUGAAGAUCAAAGCAACCAGUCCGCAAGUUAAGCUAGCAGAGUCAAAGUUAACUCAAAAAAAGUCGUGAACCACCCAUGAACCAACCUUUUCGUUCUGGCUAACAUCUUCUUGAAUCUCGGGGGCGAGAUUCUGUUAAGGGGGUUAGAUUUGUAACACCCUGAAUUUGGGGGUAUAAAAUUUCUUUUCUAAAAUCCACUAAAUUCGGGUGUUACCCUCUCUUUUCCUUGCUUUUCUUUUCUUUUUUCUAAAUAAUGGAGAGUUAUUUUAUUAUAUAUAAGUUUUUAGCGUAGUAAAAUAAAAUCCUAGAGAAGCUUUUGUUGUUGCAUGUCAUUGCAUAGUGUUUAUGAGUGCAGGGGUUUUCAAACUAUAUCGAAUUAUCUUUUGCAUGUUUCCAGAAAUUUUCGGGAACCUUCGGAAUGUUUUUUUAUAUUAACUAUGAAUUUAAGAUUUUUCUGAUAUUAUUUUUAAUCUCAAAAUUUAGCAUUUGCAAAAGCUAUAAAAUUCUGGAAACUCGAUAAUAUAUGUAUAUAUAUUUUCCUCUCGUCGAGCCUGUUCCGGAUCUCGUGUUCUUUUUCGCGAGAUCACCGAACCGCUUCUCCUCGCGAACAGCAAGUCGCUUGCAUCUGCCAUCCCUAACUACCUCAUCGACCCUUCGUCUAUUCUCCCUGUCUACCCUCCGUCAAAGUCUAUUCCUUCCAUCAAUCUCACCCCCGCUUCAUCUCAUCAGGCAACACUCGUGCGUGCAACCUCCUCCCCACCUCGCCACACCCCACCUCUAUUUAUAUAGGGCUUCUUCCCUCUACACAGAUACGAACUUCUCCCCUGGAUCCGGAUCUCGUGAGCAGCAGGUACCAAGUACACAGCUCUCUCAUCUUCUCUUCGUCCGUUAUACUGACGCCCAGAUUUAUAAGAGCCACCAAUGUUAUCGUCGUCCCCGAAGCCGCUCGUCCCCUGCGCUCCUCCCUGCGGCGCAGCCAGGCCCUUGCGCAGGGCGAGGCGCGGCAGCCGGCCAGUGCGACGGACAACUAGCGCGACGGCUCGCCCGCGUGCCCAGGCGUCUGGCACCCUGCUCCCUCGCGUGGCGAGCCCGCGGCCGAGCUGCCCCGCGCGUGCCCUCCCACGGCUCUUACCUCGCCUGCAGCGGCAGCAAAGCUGCAGGUCACUGGCGCCGCCCGCCCCCGUCCUCACGUCACGCCGCCAGCAAGUCUCUACGUCGCGUCGUGACCGCUGCCCGGCCUGCAAGCUACGUCUGAGAUCGUUUCUUCUCGUGCUGGUGUCAUGCAGUGCAGCCUGAGGAAGAAACCGUCAUGGGGCCCACCACGUGCAUACAUCUGCAAUUUCUUGGUAGCAUGCGUAAGUCAGAGAACCAUCCUCCCUACUCACGUGGCCUUGUGGCAUUUUUUUCCUUUUCUUUUCUUCUAUCAUUAGCUGCUAAGGAUCCUGUGCAUUUGCUUCCAUGUGGUCCUUCAUACGAUUAAAUUUCUGCCAAUAAAAUUGUGUCACGUCGCCACUAAUCCGCGAUAAACUAAUGCAACAUCUUUUAUGUUAAGCCUCUAUUUUAACCCAUUCAAAUUGUGUUAGAUUAGUAUUAACGUUGUCUACAUAUUAAAAUAUAUUUUUGUCGUAACACAUGUUUCAGUUAAUUAAUUAAUUGUUUGUUUGUUAGUUAUUAAAAUAGCUUUCUAAUUAAAACUAAUUUGUAGUUUUAGUUUGCACUUUUAUAAUAAAUGUUAGCAUGAUUAAUGUCAGCUUAAAUGUUGUCGAAUUAAUACUUGUUUAGCAUAAACACGACAUCUAUUAAUAAUUUCCUGCUUGUCGCGUCGUUCGUGCAUGUCGUGUGUCGACAUUUGCACGUCGUCGUGCUGUUUGCACGCGCCGUUGUCAUGGUUUGUGUGUGGUUCGCACGUGUUGCAUUCGCCGUCAUCGUGCUAUUCGCGUGCAUAGUCACGUUGACUCGUGUGUUUCGCGCACUGUCGUGUGCGUUGUUUUGCGUGUGUCGCACGUGCCGUUCGCACGUGUUAUCACACGUCGUGUGCGUGCGUCGCGUGUGCCAUUUGCACGUGUCGUUUGCCUCGUCGCGUGUCCGCGUGUCGUCGCAUGUCGAUCACGUGUGUCACGCGGCGUCUGUGCGUGACAAUAAAUUGUUUUCGCUUACGAACACUCACAUUAAUAACGUUAAUCUGUUAGGUCUCAUAUUUUAAUUAAUUUAUUUAAUGUUUGCUCGACUAAUGUUGAUUAGUUAAUAUUCUGAUUAGAUUAUGAAUAGUUUCCAACUUGCGCUGUGAUAAUAAACACUAACAUGGUUGAUGUUAACUUAAAUUCUUUUUAUUUAUUUAAUAUUUGCUUAGUAUAAACCUGCCACCUAUUUAGUUUUCCCUGUCUGUUGUGCGAGUUGUUCCGCGCGUGGUGUCGUGUUGGUUCGCGCGUCGUUCGCGCUAGUCGCGCGCACUGUUUUUGUGCAUCGUAAAUUCGUCUCGCUUAUAGUAUCUCGUUUUAAUUAAAUCACUUAUUUAACUGACAUUUGUUAGUAUAGCAUAUUAAUCGAACUAAAUGAUAGAUAUUACUUAUAUUUGAUAAUGUCGAAUUAAAAGUUUUACUUAAUAUUUAUUUAGCGUAAACGUGAUAUCUUCUAGACCGACGCUUCGAGUUCGACAUUUCUUUUUCCUCGCGUGACCGUAGUAACGCGCUCUAUUUUGUUUUGCAUGUUUUAUUAUGUUUUUAUUUGAAUGAUGUAAUGUUCUUAUGCAUAUAUAUGUUUGCUUGUUUGUGCCUGUUUGUAUUCGUUGUGCGUCGCGAAUAGAUUGCGAUCUGUUUCCAAGCUUCGAGGGAUCGAAGAUCAAGCGUUGGCGACCAAGUGAUCUAGCUCUUCGAGUUCUACGAGAUUGAAGACCCUGAGCAUCUGUUUGGUGAAGGCAAGUGUCCUCUGACCCAUUAUGUCCCAUUCACUUUUAAUGCACUGUCCCGCAUUACUUAAUUGAAACCUAAGGAUUGACUAGCUUUCCAUUUACCUUAUCCUUGUUUACCUUUUGGGUUAUCAUGGUUAGCAUUAUGCUAUUGCUUUACUUGAAUCAAUGAACAUGAUGUGAAUACUUAUGAUACUAUGAUGUUAUCCCGAUGAUGUUCCUGUGAUACUUUAGGGGGCUCAGGCUGUUUCCUGAGUGCCUCUCCGUAAGGACCUGUUUGGGGAGUGACAACCCGGGAUAACAGUGCAACCAUGAGGGUGAAAUGGGGCGCCCUUAGCUAAUUAAUUAGAGGAACUAGAGGUGUAGUUGCUUCGCCGUCGUGCCGUCAAUGGGGUCCAGGCACAGUGCUUGCUCUGCCGAGGCUGGGUGCCGAAGUUCUUUCGUUUUGCUUUUGUUAGUCACCCCCUUCGGGGAGAGGUACUGUGUUUAUCAAACUGGAGAAACCUAACGGGCAGUUAUGACCUCUAGGGAAUCUUUGUAAAAGCUACGUAGUGAUACCCUGCCGGACCACCUAGGAAGUGAUCAAUGGGGAGUCAUGAUCCCCGGGCAAAAUGGGAAUCACGGCUCAUGGUUAAAGUGUGCGACCUCUGCAGAGGGUAUUGAAACUGAUAUAUCGCGGCGGCCUUGGGAUCCUCUUUGAUUAGAGAUAUUUGAUCAGAGAUGGUUGGUUUACAGGUGGUGACAAGGAUGAUGGUUAUGACUAUGGUAAUGGUAAGUGGUAUUCUUUCCGUUUGGAAAGGGUACUUUGGGUUAAUAACUUGGGUUAAUGUUAAAAUCUGGCUCUCAAUUAAUAAUAAUAACCUGACCAACUAAAAGCAACUGCUUGACCUUAACCCCAAAUAAAGCUAGUCCACUACAGCCAAACAGGACAUUUGCUGAGUACGUUGAUGUGUACUCACCCUUGCUUUCACAAAACACCAGGUUGCCUUUGGUGCAAUCUAUGCUCAGGUAAAGAAGAAGGCGUCGAGGCGAAUCUCCAGGAGUUCCAGGACUUCGACGAGUUCGAGGAUUAGGCUAGCGACCUCCCCCAGUCAGCUGCCUGUGGUGGGCUUAUUUACGUUGGCUACGUUUCUGUUCUGUGUACUUUGAUUAUAUUAUGUAAAUGACUCUAGUCUUUCAUAUUAUUACUUAUCUUUAUUGUUAUUCGAAGCAUUGUGCUAUGAUGAGUCAUUUAUGUAAUCGUCGUG